AUGACAAAGAAUAUAUUGAAGAAGUUGAUAUGCAUAGCAGAUCUACGGACACAGGUUGCAGGUUUCCUGUAUGGGCUGAGUCCACAGGAUAAUCCCCAAGUCAGGGAGAUGAGAUGCAUAUCCAUUCCGCCACAACAUGGAAGUCACCAAUGGUGA
Molecule: ribosomal RNA, 156 nt
Filed under: Triticum aestivum (bread wheat)
Lineage: Eukaryota; Viridiplantae; Streptophyta; Magnoliopsida; Poales; Poaceae
Description: partial small subunit ribosomal RNA
Source: RNAcentral